GGAUCCCGACUUUCGUUGUGGAUUAAUGAAAAUGUUUUUGGCAAAUGCUUUCGCUUUCGUCCGUCUUGCGCGGGUCCAAGAAUUUCACCUCUAGCAACACAAUACGAAAGCCCCCCCGCC
This is a long non-coding RNA of Etheostoma cragini (Arkansas darter), 120 nucleotides long. RefSeq lists it as uncharacterized. The record is from RefSeq and is a predicted model, not a curated record. The transcript has 3 exons. Lineage: Eukaryota; Metazoa; Chordata; Actinopteri; Perciformes; Percidae.